Molecule: ribosomal RNA, 120 nt
Filed under: Candidatus Thorarchaeota archaeon
Lineage: Archaea; Promethearchaeati; Candidatus Thorarchaeota
Source: RNAcentral
GAUGGCGGCCAUAGCCCUGAGUGAUAUACCUGAUCUCAGCCGAACUCAGUAGUCAAGCCUCAGGACGUCAUGGGAAAUGUGCGGUGCGCGAGCCCGUGACAAGCCCAUGAGCUGCCACAU